RNAcentral lists this ribosomal RNA (327 nucleotides) under uncultured eukaryote. Its description in RNAcentral is "partial 18S ribosomal RNA". It matches the Rfam family "Eukaryotic small subunit ribosomal RNA", at positions 1470 to 1796 of the family's 1831-position model. The record is from RNAcentral.
CCCUUAGAUGUUCUGGGCCGCACGCGCGCUACACUGACGAAUGCAACGAGCUUAUAACCUUGGCCGAAAGGUCUGGGUAAUCUCCAAAUUUCGUCGUGAUGGGGAUAGAUUAUUGCAAUUAUUAAUCUUCAACGAGGAAUGCCUAGUAAGCGCAAGUCAUCAGCUUGCGCUGAUUACGUCCCUGCCCUUUGUACACACCGCCCGUCGCUCCUACCGAUUGAAUGGUCCGGUGAAGCGUUCGGACCGUGGCCUUUGGACGGUUCGCCGUCUGUUGGCUGCGGGAAGUUCGUUAAACCUUAUCAUUUAGAGGAAGGAGAANUCGUANCA